This is a long non-coding RNA of Zingiber officinale, 761 nucleotides long. RefSeq lists it as uncharacterized. NCBI's taxonomy places the organism in Eukaryota, Viridiplantae, Streptophyta, Magnoliopsida, Zingiberales, Zingiberaceae. The transcript has 2 exons. The record is from RefSeq and is a predicted model, not a curated record.
AUGACCAGCUGGAGCAGACCCUUUGGCUCGUAAAAGAUGCAGCUCAAAGAACUCCAUCGUUUAGCAUCUGAGGCGGACAUGGUGGGCCCAGAAAUCCAAAAUCAUAAAUAAAGGAGAUUUACUUUGGAUAGACCUGUCCAAUCUAAAUCUGCUUUAGGUGACUACUCGGUGCAUUAUUGUACUAGCACCAAACACUUUGUGAAUUAUUGUAUCUUUUAAGCUGUCAAGCACUAAUCGGGGUAGCUGUAAAGAAGAAGAUAAGGAUGCGAUGAGGCCACUCAUGGGCACCCGAUCCUCAUCUCUACUCCUAUAUAUAAGCCCCUAUCUAUCUCUUGCAAACUCAAUUCAGAAGACUUCUGAGAGUUUACUUGAGAACGUACAGCGGGCGGAGGAUGGCAUGACUUCCGAUGAGCGGUUCGUGGCUGACGGUGAGGAAUGAAGGCUGCCCCGAAGGAGGGUAAAGGAAAAGCGGCUGGCCUUCGGGAUUUGCUCACGGUGGUGUCGCGACAUCGAGCACGACCGACAAUGAAAGCACGAUACAAGAUUGCGAUGGCUCGAGCGCAGGGACAGAAAAGGCCGACAUCAAGGAAAGGGGCGUGGCUCCGGCUCGCGAAUAGCGGCGUCGUGCGGCGGAACAGCACUGCGAGCACGAGAGGAAGAGAAAGAAAUGGGGUGGGAGAGGAAAAUAAAAACUAAGUUUAGAUUAUCUAGACAUAGGUUUUAUAUUCAAUCAACUCUCACUUUAAUUGGGCGUUCUAAAA